This 275-nucleotide ribosomal RNA is filed under the name uncultured bacterium. Its description in RNAcentral is "partial 16S ribosomal RNA". It matches the Rfam family "Bacterial small subunit ribosomal RNA", at positions 399 to 691 of the family's 1533-position model. The record is from RNAcentral.
GCGUGAGUGAUGAAGGCCCUAGGGUUGUAAAGCUCUUUUACCGGAGAAGAUAAUGACGGUAUCCGGAGAAAAAGCCCCGGCUAACUUCGUGCCAGCAGCCGCGGUAAUACGAAGGGGGCUAGCGUUGUUCGGAUUUACUGGGCGUAAAGCGCACGUAGGCGGAUUGUUAAGUUAGGGGUGAAAUCCCAAGGCUCAACCUUGGAACUGCCUUUAAUACUGGCAAUCUUGAGUCCGAGAGAGGUGAGUGGAAUUCCUAGUGUAGAGGUGGAAUUCGU